Molecule: ribosomal RNA, 465 nt
Filed under: Vreelandella stevensii
Lineage: Bacteria; Pseudomonadati; Pseudomonadota; Gammaproteobacteria; Oceanospirillales; Halomonadaceae
Description: partial 16S ribosomal RNA
Rfam family: Bacterial small subunit ribosomal RNA
Source: RNAcentral
CCUACGGGAGGCAGCAGUGGGGAAUAUUGGACAAUGGGGGCAACCCUGAUCCAGCCAUGCCGCGUGUGUGAAGAAGGCCCUCGGGUUGUAAAGCACUUUCAGUGAGGAAGAACGCCUGGUGGUUAAUACCCAUCAGGAAAGACAUCACUCACAGAAGAAGCACCGGCUAACUCCGUGCCAGCAGCCGCGGUAAUGCGGAGGGUGCGAGCGUUAAUCGGAAUUACUGGGCGUAAAGCGCGCGUAGGUGGCUUGAUAAGCCGGUUGUGAAAGCCCCGGGCUCAACCUGGGAACGGCAUCCGGAACUGUCAAGCUAGAGUGCAGGAGAGGAAGGUAGAAUUCCCGGUGUAGCGGUGAAAUGCGUAGAGAUCGGGAGGAAUACCAGUGGCGAAGGCGGCCUUCUGGACUGACACUGACACUGAGGUGCGAAAGCGUGGGUAGCAAACAGGAUUAGAUACCCCAGUAGUC